Molecule: ribosomal RNA, 232 nt
Filed under: uncultured bacterium
Lineage: Bacteria
Description: partial 16S ribosomal RNA
Rfam family: Bacterial small subunit ribosomal RNA
Source: RNAcentral
CGGACGGGUGAGUAAUGUCUGGGAAACUGCCUGAUGGAGGGGGAUAACUACUGGAAACGGUAGCUAAUACCGCAUAACGUCGCAAGACCAAAGAGGGGGACCUUCAGGCCUCUUGCCAUCGGAUGUGCCCAGAUGGGAUUAGCUAGUAGGUGGGGUAACGGCUCACCUAGGCGACGAUCCCUAGCUGGUCUGAGAGGAUGACCAGCCACACUGGAACUGAGACACGGUCCAG